GCCUGGGUGGCUCAGUCGGUAGAGCAUCUGACUUUGGCUCAGGUCAUGAUCUCACGGUUUGUGGUUCAAGCCCCACAUCGGGCU
This 84-nucleotide transfer RNA is filed under the name Felis catus (domestic cat). It matches the Rfam family "tRNA". From Rfam's summary of the family: Transfer RNA (tRNA) molecules are approximately 80 nucleotides in length. Their secondary structure includes four short double-helical elements and three loops (D, anti-codon, and T loops). Further hydrogen bonds mediate the characteristic L-shaped molecular structure. tRNAs have two regions of fundamental functional importance: the anti-codon, which is responsible for specific mRNA codon recognition, and the 3' end, to which the tRNAs corresponding amino acid is attached (by aminoacyl-tRNA synthetases). tRNAs cope with the degeneracy of the genetic code in two manners: having more than one tRNA (with a specific anti-codon) for a particular amino acid; and 'wobble' base-pairing, i.e. permitting non-standard base-pairing at the 3rd anti-codon position. The record is from Rfam by way of RNAcentral. Lineage: Eukaryota; Metazoa; Chordata; Mammalia; Carnivora; Felidae.